GACGACGUUCUGCAGUGGGACUUCGACUGCGUACCAGACGUUUUCUUUUCGCAGCAAGUCGCAAACUGAUACUUUGGGAUCGAUGACACGGGGCUCACAAUAACGAAGAAGCCAAAAAGCAUUUUUAUACGCCUCGCAACCGAGCAACUUUUUCCGCGUAGAGGGGGUUACUUCUGGCGGUUGCUGGAACACCGGUGCAUCAAGAGAGCGCUGGACAGGCACGUCUCUCGUGCAGACACGUACUCAGUGCACGUAUUGUGUGAGCCUGCCACGUGGAUGCGCGGAUCCAUCAGUACUUGAACUGGAGCGAGCGUGUCUACUGUGGAGAGCACGGCGCAGAGGACACGGUUCGUCUUUGGAAGCACUGGUGCCGAUUCCGCGUUGGCGACAACGCUCAUAUGAGGAAGGGAGGUCCACAGGAAAAACAGAAAGUUUUUCUCUUCACUGAUGGACAAGUUCUCGGGUAAAAUGCCGCGGUGCGUGAGCGAUGCGUAGGCUCCUGCACGGCACGCAGUUCUAGCGAGCGAAAAUGGUAUGCGGGCGGAAAAAGUGAAGGCGUGAAAGAAUCACUGAGAUCAGAUCUUCUAUGAAAGAAACUGAUCGGGUUCGUUUCGCUCAUACUUCUAGUCUGCGACAGGAAUGAAGCCGUAUACUCAUCUGACUACACAAAAGCGCACACAUGGUGAACUCAAACCGUGAGGGCGUAUCGACAGACUCCCUUGCCGCGUGUCGUGUGUCGCGGCCAACGGAUCGGUGCACCAUCAUCGACAAUACACCCGAGCCCUGUCCAGUUGUCUCGUUGGAGCGCCAACAUGUCAUCACUUCCUUCGAACAGCUCCUUAGCAGUGUAGCGUGUCAGUGUGAUGACCGCAGCUCUUGAGGCUGCCCUCGGCCGUGGAGCUCUUCAUGGAAUCACAAUGACGCCGGUUCUGGCUGACUGGUCGGGCACUUCAAUGUCACCGGCUCGCUUUCCAACGUCAAGCCGUCAGCGCGCAUCACUGUUAUUCCCGCGGUUCAGAUCGAGGCGGAAUGCCCACCAUACAGAAAAGACGGACGGAAGUCAGGUUCUUUCUCUAGUCCACUCGACGACGCACGCACGGGCUGCGUUCCUGCUUUCUCUAACUUGGUUGUCGAUCGUGAACAGUUAAGAACAUUUCGCGAGCACCCGCUUGGACGUAUUUAGCUGUGAAGCUCGCCGAAACGACCUGGGCAGAGGCAUCUGAAUCCCUAGAAACACGGGGCCGAAACCUGUCAUCAUUCGAACGGUUCCGAGAUCCGAAAACGUGACUUUCGCCGAUGAGAGCAACGCAAGCUUCCGACAGGAUCGCAUGCCUGUUCGUAGGAUGUUACAGGUCCGGCAACUCGCCUGAUGCGCUAUGGCGAUCCAUGCUGGAUAUGGUCCUCAUGUCUGUAUCUGGAAUACAAGGGUAUGUGCCGAGGCGGCAUACGUCGUCGGAAACUCGACUUGAGAUCGGCUCGUGACCGAAGGAGAGCAUUGAGAGCUCCACAAGUUAGCGCUUUUAUGCAGCAAUGCGCUGUGUAGGGGGCUAGCGAUCAUGCGCCGAGACCAGAGCGUGCCAGUAGCUCGAACUUGCUGCUAAACUCCGACCGAGAUGCUCGUUUCAAGCCCUGUCUUAUUGCUCCUCAGGAACUAUAUAGGCACGAAGUUGCCCAUAAAACCAAGUA
Molecule: unclassified non-coding RNA, 1686 nt
Filed under: Cyanidioschyzon merolae strain 10D
Lineage: Eukaryota; Rhodophyta; Bangiophyceae; Cyanidiales; Cyanidiaceae
Description: hypothetical transcript
Source: RNAcentral